GUCCCAGCACCGCCACCCCUGCACCUUCGGGGCGGGCUGCCGCCGCGCUCCGCAGCCCUGUCUGCAUUUCCCGCCUUCCUUCGCCUACCGCUCUGUUGCUAGCACCUCAGAGGACCCACGGAUGCGCGGAGCUGCAGGGGCCGCCCCUCAGACCCCUAAUUUUGGCAGAGGGGAAGCAGAAGCAAGUUUUCAGACACGUUCAUAUGUUGAAUGAAUGGAAUCUCUCAGCCCUGAGAUGAUGUUGAAAUGCAGGAGAUGGAGACACUGGUAGACUCAGUUGAUGGCAAGACAAAAGGACACUUCAACCCAGAAAGAUGUGGUGCUUUUUACUCAUGUGAAGAAGAAAGAAAAUCAAGAAAUGGUCAAUGUUUGGGGUGCCUGGGUGGCUCAGUCGGUUGAGUGAUUCUUGAUUUUGGCUCAGGCCAUGAUCCCAGGAUUGUAGGAUCGAGCCCCAUGUUGGACUCUGUGCUGAGCAUGGAGCCUGCUUAAGAUUCUCUCCUCCCCCCCCCGCCACCCCCACCCCGUGCCCUCCCCUGCUCACACUCUCGUGCUCUCUGUCUCUCUCAAUCUUGAAAAUAAAAAAAUAAAUGGUCACUGUCACUGGUUUUUCUCC
This is a long non-coding RNA of Neofelis nebulosa (Clouded leopard), 613 nucleotides long. RefSeq lists it as uncharacterized. Lineage: Eukaryota; Metazoa; Chordata; Mammalia; Carnivora; Felidae. The record is from RefSeq and is a predicted model, not a curated record. The transcript is spliced from 3 exons.